This is a long non-coding RNA of Equus caballus (horse), 4205 nucleotides long. RefSeq lists it as uncharacterized. The record is from RefSeq and is a predicted model, not a curated record. NCBI's taxonomy places the organism in Eukaryota, Metazoa, Chordata, Mammalia, Perissodactyla, Equidae.
GACAAAAGAUCUGAAUAGAUACUUUACAGAGAGAUAUAUUAAUGGUCAUAUGAAAAGAUGCUCAACAUCUUUAGUCAUCAGAAAAAUAUAAAUUAAAACCACAAUGAGGUAUCGCUACAUACCUACUAAAAUGGCUAAAAUGAGAAAGACCGAUGAUACCAAGUGUUGACUAGGAUUUGAAGUAACUGGAACUCUCAUACAUUGCUGGUAUGAGGGGGAAAGGGUACAACCACUUUGGAAAACAGUUUGGCAGUUUCUUAUAAAGUUCAAGAUAUACACUUAUCACACGAUCCAGUAAUUCUACUCCUAAAGAAAUACAAACAAAUGUCCAUAAAAAGACUCUACACACAUGUUCAUAACAGCUUUAUUCAUAAUAGCUCCAAACUGGAAACAACCCCAAUUCCGUAAACGUGUGAAUGGAAAAACAAAUUGUGGCAUAGUCACACAAUGACAUAGUACUCAGCAACGAAAAGGAAUGAAUUACUGAUACAAUAAUAUGCGUGAAUCUCAAAAACAUUAGAGUACGUGACAGCAGCUAGACACAAAAGACUACAAGCUGCAUGAUUCCAUUUACAAGAAUAUCUAAAAUAGGUAAAACCCUCCUCUAAUAACAGAAACCAGAUCAGUGUUUUCCUGGGGUGGUGGUUGUUGGGGAUGGGGACUGCCUGCAAAGAGGCAGGAGGAAAAUAUUUUUGAGUGAUGAGAAUAGUCUAUGUCUUGAUUAGGAGGGAGGUUACAUAAGCAGAUAUAUUUGUAAAAAACUCAGGGAAAUGGCUGCUUUUUAUUGUAUACAGAGCUGAUUUUUAAAAGAGGAAAUACAGAAGAGAAAACAUGAUUGUCAACUGAUUGGUCCACGAUCAUACAAAAAUAUAUUAGACCCUAUUAAAAUUUAACUACAAUGAGAUACCAUUUUAUACUCACCAUUUUGGCAAACGUAUAAAAAGUCUGAAAAUAUCAAGAAUUCAUGAGGGUGUAGGUCAAUGUGGGAGCGCAAAUUAGAGCAUCCACUUUGGAAAAUAAUUUGGCACUACCUAGAAAGUUGAAAAUGUACCUACCCUACCACUCAGCAACUGUGCUUCUGUGUACAUUCCCCAAAGGAACUUUGUGCAUACACACAAAAAUAUUGGGAGCACCUUUGUAAUAGUUUGUGAUAGUAAAAACUGGAAGCUAUUUUAAGCAUCUAACAUAAAGAGAACAUGUGUAAACUGCAGUAUAAUUGUGUACUAGGAUGCUACACAGCAGUGAACCUGGCUGCAUUACUACAAUUACUGGUUGCACUACAUACAACAUGCAUGUCACCAAUAUUAAGCAAUAAAAAGAGCAAGUCACAGAAGUAUAUAUACAGUAUAUUCUAGGUCUUAUAGUUUGAAAUCAAGCAAAACAUUAAAAAUAAUAUACAAAUAUAUGAGGCAAAACUAAAAGAAAAGCGAAACAAGACAAACUCAAAGUUCAGUAUAGCAGUUUUCUCUGAGAGAGAGGGAGAUGGAAUGAGACCAGGCAAAAAAUGAGCUUCAAAGUUAUGACGUCAUUUUUCUUACACUAAGUGGUAAGUAUAUGAAGGUUCAACUUGUCAGUAAUCUCUAAACCACACAUGUACUUUAUAUGUACUCGUCUGUAUGCAGAGAUAUUUCAUAAUAAAAAUUUUAAAGGAAUUUUUUUAAAGGCAAAUAUUGUCACAUUGGGCUAAACACUAUAAUUCAACCAUAUGUCUCACACAACAGACACACCAAAAACAAAAUAACACAGAAAGGUUAAAAAUAAAGGGAUGGGAAAAAUUAUACCAGACAAACACAAACAAAAAAAGACACGAGUAACGAUGCUAAUGUAAGAUAAACUAAAACUCAAGGCAAAAAACACAAAUAACUUAGAGUGUUCUUUUAUACAUAGAUAUAUGUAAUCCAUGAUGGAAAUAUUAUCAGCCGCAAACCAUAAUGAGAUAAAUAGCAUAGCCUCAAAAUAUACAAAGCAAAUAAUGACAGAAAUAACCAAAGAAAGUGACUGAGGCAUAAUUUUUUAUUUUAUUUUUUGUUUUUAAUUUCAUACAGUAAAAUUAAAUCUUCUGGGUGAACAGUUUUAUGAGUUUUGACAAAUGCAUAAAAUCGUGUAACCACCACCACAAUCAAGGUACAGAACAGUUCUGUCACCCUCAAAAAUGCCCUCCUGCUGCCCCUUUGUAGUCAAAUGCUCCCCACACCCCCCGUCUCUGGAAACUCUUUGAUCUGUUCUCCAUCCUUACAGUUUUGUCUUUCUAGAAUGUCAUACAAAUGGAAUCAUACCAUCUUUGGAGUCUGACGCCUUUCACUCAGCAUAAUGCCUCUGAGAUUCUUCUGAGUGUUGUACGUAUCAACAGUUCAUUCUAUUUCAUUGUUACAUAGCAUUCAAUCGUCUGGAUGUACCACAACUGCUUAUCAUUCACCCAAUGAAGGGCUUUCGGGGGGUCCAGUUUGGGGAAUUAUGAAUAAUGUUAUUAUAAACAUUUCUGUACUGGAUUUGCGUGAACAUAAAUUUUCAUGUCUCUUGGUUAAACGCCCAGGAACUGCUAGGUCAUAUGGUUAAGUGCACAUUUAACUUUAUAAGAAAGUGUCCAACUUCUUUUCCAAAAUGGUUGCGCUAUUUUGCAUUUCCAAACAGUAAUGGAGCAAAGUUCUUGUUGCUUUGCAUCUUCACCCGCAUUUGGUAUUUGAAGCAUAAUCUUAACACAUCACUAUCAAUCAACGUCAGUGCAUACAUUCCCAAUCAAGUAUAAAAUAUACAGAGAUUUGGACAAUAUAAUCACAACACAACUAAGGCUGAAUUAAUAUAUAUUUCAUGUCUAUAUUUGCACCUGAUACUGAAAACAUCUUCAUUUCAAGAAUCUAUGGAAUAUUUAUAAAAAUAGGUCAUAUUCUAGGCCAUGAAGAAAAUGUUAAUACCUUUCCCAAUGCAGAAACUGUACCACAGUGUAAUAAAUGUUGACAUUAAUAACAAAGUUUAAAUAAUAAUAAAAAUAAGCAUAGAAGUUACAAAACACUUGCCAAAACAAUUACUGCUUUGGACAAAAGAGGAAUUUUUAAAUUUAACUAAAAACUAUGUAGAAAAUAAUGAAAAUAAGAGACAACCACAAACUCAUAGGUUGAAAUGGUUUCUUUAUUACAAAAAACAAUACAUUUUUCUUAUUAAGAAGAAAAAAGGGAAAGAAUCCCCAAGGGAAACAUACGAAGGAAAUAAAAGAUAAGCAGAGAUUGUGAUUGCUUACUGUUCCCUCUCCCGGUAAAUCAAGCUCUUACAGGGCAGAGCCACAUUCCUAUCCGCUAGUGAAAAGUGUGCCUGGCUCAGAGUAUGAACCCAAUACUUACAAGCACUUUUCGCUUUCUCUAAGUUAGGCCUUCUCUCCUUUGGGCUUCCACAGUAGGCUAUUCAUAGCUCUAUUUUAGCAUUUAUCAAAGUACUGCGAUCACGUAAGUUUUCCACAUCACACAAACCCUUUAGAAACAACUAUUUGUUUACCACUCAGAAUGUGCCAAGCGAUUGACAUUCAUUCAUUUAAUCCUUACAACUUUUUUAGAUAUUCCUAUUUUUCAGAAAUUGACGCUCAGAAAGGUUAAGUGAUCACGGUCAUAGAUGGAAUUCAUCACAAAUACAGGAUUUGGUUGCACAUCGGAUUACUUUCAAACACAAGCUCUUUCCAUCAGAAGAGGUUACUUCGAACUCAGGGGCAAGGUUAAUUUUGUUCACUUUUAUAUCCUCAGCUCCUAGCCUAAGCUCCUGACACAGAAUAUCUUAAACAAGGUAGGCAUUACUUGCGUCCUGCUGUUUAUGAAAUUUUGUUCUGUGUACUGGAAAGAAAUGCACUAAACUCAAGCCGGCAAUAGAGAUUUGGAAAAACACGCAAGGCACUGUACGACUCUCAGUCGUUCCUAGAGUCCCAUCUCUAUGGUUAGCAAUGUGACCGCUCUAUAGCCUGGAGGACUCAGAGAGCACGGCCAAUCAUUAGGCCACUUUACAGGCACGUGGCCGGAAGUUCGACUUGCUAUUGGUUAAUAGCGAUAAAGCCCGCCCAACCACAUCCUGCCUACGCCUUUAAGUAGGAGCCGGGCGCGUCGUCCCGCCUUUCGGAGACUGUGAAGCCGGAAAGAUCCCGGCCGGACUGAGGACGUCGGAUAUCACUGUUUUCUCAGCCCUUGGACCUUCCCCCAAAGCUUCUCAAUAAAAUGGUUUGAUCCCAU